Pelobates cultripes (western spadefoot toad) is the source of this 241-nucleotide non-coding RNA. NCBI's taxonomy places the organism in Eukaryota, Metazoa, Chordata, Amphibia, Anura, Pelobatidae. The record is from the annotation of a GenBank genome assembly.
ACAUACACAGCACCCACAGACAUACAGCACCCACAGACAUACAGCACCCACACACAUACAGCACCCACAGACAUACACAGCACCCACAGACAUACACAGAACCCACAGACAUCCAGCACCCACAGACAUACACAGCACCCACAGACAUACACAGCACCCACACACAUACAGCACCCACAGACAUACACAGCACCCACACACAUUCAGCACCCACAUACAUUCAGCACCCACAGACAUACAG